CCUACGGGGGGCAGCAGUGAGGAAUAUUGGUCAAUGGACGAGAGUCUGAACUAGCCAAGUAGCGUGAAGGAUGACUGCCCUAUGGGUUGUAAACUUCUUUUAUAUGGGAAUAAAACAGGGUAUGCAUACCCUCUCGUAUGUACCAUAUGAAUAAGGAUCGGCUAACUCCGUGCCAGCAGCCGCGGUAAUACGGAGGAUCCGAGCGUUAUCCGGAUUUAUUUGGUUUAAAGGGAGCGUAGGUGGAUUGUUAAGUCAGGUGUGAAAGUUUGGGGCUCAACCGUAAGAUUGCAGUUGAAACUGGCAGUCUUGAGUACAGUAGAGGUGGGCGGAAUUCGUGGUGUAGCGGUGAAAUGCUUAGAUAUCACGAAGAACUCCGAUUGCGAAGGCAGCUCACUGGACUGCAACUGACACUGAUGCUCGAAAGUGUGGGUAUCAAACAGGAUUAGAUACCCGAGUAGUC
Molecule: ribosomal RNA, 460 nt
Filed under: uncultured bacterium
Lineage: Bacteria
Description: partial 16S ribosomal RNA
Rfam family: Bacterial small subunit ribosomal RNA
Source: RNAcentral